RNAcentral lists this long non-coding RNA (605 nucleotides) under Ananas comosus (pineapple). Its description in RNAcentral is "long non-coding RNA (ACOM_LNC028742)". The record is from RNAcentral. Lineage: Eukaryota; Viridiplantae; Streptophyta; Magnoliopsida; Poales; Bromeliaceae.
GACCGUUUCGCGGGGCCCGGUUGUCCCACACCUGUAGCUUAAUUCACCAAAUCAAUGAAUGAACCGGGUAGCGAGCUACCUUUCUCUCAAAAAAAUAAAAAUGCUAAGGCUCUCUCUUAGCCCACAGACUUUGAAUUAUACUUUACUAUUCUAUAAUUUUAUUUUUGUAAAUAGUAAAAUACUAAAUUUUACAGUACAUAUUAUAAAGCAAUAAACAUGUAAUAAUAUUAACUAAUUUACGGUAUGAUACUUCACCCAUUUAAAAUUUUCUAAAACGUUAAAAAUAAAAUUAUAUAUUUAAAUUUAAAUUUUUAAAUUUUAUAUUUGAAUUUUUAAAUUUAAAUAUAUAACUCUAAAAAAUUAAAAAUUUGAAAAAUAAAAUAAAAAUAAAACUAGUAAGUGAACUUAGCUAUAGAUUGAGACAUCAUGGGCCUCCAAGAAAAAGGAAAAGGAAAACGACAAAAGAAAGGUACAAAGCACACCAGAAAAAUAAAAUAAAAAUAAAAAAAGACGAAAGAAAGAGAAAACAGUAAAAUUCAAAUGUAAUGACUUUUCCAGAAGUCUUUAAGCACUCUGAUCUCUAUCAGCAGAUACCCCAAUUUCUU